RNAcentral lists this ribosomal RNA (905 nucleotides) under uncultured Campylobacterota bacterium. Its description in RNAcentral is "bacterial SSU rRNA". It matches the Rfam family "Bacterial small subunit ribosomal RNA", at positions 8 to 933 of the family's 1533-position model. The record is from RNAcentral. Lineage: Bacteria; Pseudomonadati; Campylobacterota.
AGAGUUUGAUCCUGGCUCAGAAUGAACGCUGGCGGCGUGCUUAACACAUGCAAGUCGAACGAUGAAGCCUAGCUUGCUAGGUGAAUUAGUGGCGCACGGGUGAGUAAUAUAUAGAUAAUGUGCCUCUUAGUCUAGGAUAGCCAUUGGAAACGAUGAUUAAUACUGGAUACUCCUUCUGAUUAUAAUUUCAGUCGGGAAAGUUUUUCGCUAAGAGAUCAGUCUAUAUCCCAUCAGUUAGUUGGUAGGGUAAUGGCCUACCAAGGCAAUGACGGGUAGCGGGUUUGAGAGGAUGAUCCGCCACACUGGUACUGAGACACGGACCAGACUCCUACGGGAGGCAGCAGUGAGGAAUAUUGCACAAUGGAGGAAACUCUGAUGCAGCAACGCCGCGUGGAGGAUGACGCAUUUCGGUGUGUAAACUCCUUUUAUAUGUCAAGAAAAUGACGGUAGCAUAUGAAUAAGCACCGGCUAACUCCGUGCCAGCAGCCGCGGUAAUACGGAGGGUGCAAGCGUUAUUCGGAAUCACUGGGCGUAAAGGACGCGUAGGCUGGAAGCCAAGUCUGAUGUGAAAUCCUAUGGCUUAACCAUAGAACUGCAUUGGAAACUGGUUACCUAGAGUAUGGGAGGGGGAGAUGGAAUUAGUGGUGUAGGGGUAAAAUCCGUAGAUAUCACUAGGAAUACCGAAAGCGAAGGCGAUCUCCUGGAACAAUACUGACGCUAAGGCGUGAAAGCGUGGGGAGCAAACGGGAUUAGAUACCCCGGUAGUCCACGCCCUAAACGAUGAACACUAGUCGUCGGAAUGCUAGUCAUUUCGGUGAUGCACUUAACAGAUUAAGUGUUCCGCCUGGGGAGUACGGUCGCAAGAUUAAAACUCAAAGGAAUAGACGGGGGCCCGCACAAGCGGU